GACAGAGGUUGCAAACGUUGUUCGGAAUUACUGGGCAUAAAGCGCACGUAGGCGGUCCGUUAAGUCAUGUGUGAAAUCCCCCGGCUCAACCGGGGAAUUGCGCCUGAUACUGGCGGGCUAGAGAUCGAUAGGGGUGAGCGGAACUCCAGGUGGAGCGGUGAAAUGCGUAGAUAUCUGGAGGAACACCGGUGGCGAAAGCGGCUCACUGGAUCGAAACUGACGCUGAGGUGCGAAAGCUAGGGUAGCAAACGGG
Molecule: ribosomal RNA, 253 nt
Filed under: uncultured bacterium
Lineage: Bacteria
Description: partial 16S ribosomal RNA
Rfam family: Bacterial small subunit ribosomal RNA
Source: RNAcentral